UUCUACGGAGUACACUUGUCUUUUAUCACUAUAAAAAAAAGACUUAUAACCAAAAUUACUAGACCUAUAUUUAUUUAUAAACGUCAUGGCUUUUAUUAAUAGGUCAAAAGCUAUAUAUCUAGUUUUGAGAGAACAUUCUCUCAUAUGUUCUUUGAAAACUGAAUAGUAAAAUAUUUUUCGAUAUUUACAACGACAUCAAAAAUCAAAUUAAUGGUUAAUUUGUUUUGAUUCAUCGAGUAAGUCAUAUUUAAUAUGAUUCAUUGAAAUGUCUUAAAAUACACAUCUAAAACUAACAACAAUAGGAAAAUACUACUUUUAAAUAAGGAAGAGUUUUUGGUGGAUGC
RNAcentral lists this unclassified non-coding RNA (344 nucleotides) under Mycoplasmopsis bovis. RNAcentral describes it as "Mycoplasma bovis 16S-23S ribosomal RNA intergenic spacer". Lineage: Bacteria; Bacillati; Mycoplasmatota; Mycoplasmoidales; Metamycoplasmataceae. The record is from RNAcentral.